GACGAACGCUGGUGGCGUGCUUAACACAUGCAAGUCGAACGGGAAUUAGUAAACAGAAGCCUCGGUGGAAGAUUACUAAUGAGAGUGGUGAACGGGUGAGUAACGCGUGAGCAAACUGCUUAUGAUAGUGGGAUAGGCUCGGGAUACCGGGAUUAAUACUGCAUAAAAUCGUAGAAUCACAUGAUUUAACGGUGAAAGACUUAUCGGUCAUAGAUGGGCUCGCGUCUGAUUAGCUAGUUGGGGAGAUAACAGCCCAACAAGGCGACGAUCAGUAGCCGGUCUGAGAGGAUGAACGGCCACAUUGGAACUGAGACACGGUCCAGACUCCUACGGGAGGCAGCAGUGGGGAAUAUUGCACAAUGGGGGAAACCCUGAUGCAGCGACGCCGCGUGAACGAAGAAAGUAUUCAUAUCGUAAAGUUCUGUCCUAUAGGAAGAUAAUGACAGUACCAUAGAAGAAAGCUCCGGCUAAAUACGUG
Molecule: ribosomal RNA, 478 nt
Filed under: uncultured bacterium
Lineage: Bacteria
Description: partial 16S ribosomal RNA
Rfam family: Bacterial small subunit ribosomal RNA
Source: RNAcentral